UACGGGGGGGGCAAGCGUUGUUCGGAAUUACUGGGCGUAAAGCGCGUGUAGGCGGUUAUCCAAGUCGGAUGUGAAAGCCUUGAGCUCAACUCAAGAAAUGCAUUCGGUACUGGGUGACUAGAGGACCGGAGAGGAUAGUGGAAUUCCCAGUGUAGUGGUGAAAUACGUAGAGAUUGGGAAGAACACCAGUGGCGAAGGCGGCUAUCUGGACGGUUUCUGACGCUAAGACGCGAAAGCGUGGGGAGCAAACAGG
This 253-nucleotide ribosomal RNA is filed under the name uncultured bacterium. RNAcentral's name for it is "partial 16S ribosomal RNA". It matches the Rfam family "Bacterial small subunit ribosomal RNA", at positions 524 to 776 of the family's 1533-position model. The record is from RNAcentral.